RNAcentral lists this ribosomal RNA (300 nucleotides) under uncultured bacterium. Its description in RNAcentral is "bacterial SSU rRNA". It matches the Rfam family "Bacterial small subunit ribosomal RNA", at positions 399 to 691 of the family's 1533-position model. The record is from RNAcentral.
GCGUGUGUGAAGAAGGCCUGCGGGUUGUAAAGCACUUUUGUCAGGGAAGAAAAGCGUCGUGCUAAUAUCAUGGCGUCUUGACGUAACCUGAAGAAUAAGCACCGGCUAACUCUGUGCCAGCAGCCGCGGUAAUACAGAGGGUGCAAGCGUUAAUCGGAAUUACUGGGCGUAAAGCGUGUGUAGGUGGUUACUUGAGUCGGAUGUGAAAGCCCCGGGCUUAACCUGGGAAUUGCAUUCGAUACUGGGUGACUAGAGUAUGGUAGAGGGUAGCGGAAUUCCCGGUGUAGCGGUGAAAUGCGU